RNAcentral lists this non-coding RNA (29 nucleotides) under Homo sapiens (human). Lineage: Eukaryota; Metazoa; Chordata; Mammalia; Primates; Hominidae. The record is from RNAcentral.
UGCCUGUCCUGGUUUUGUGCCUGACUCUU